AAUAAAAUCGAGAAUAAAAUAAUUGCAAAAUAAAAAAAUAAGAACAACGAAGAAAACGCGAUGUCGUAUUUUAUACGAU
RNAcentral lists this small RNA (79 nucleotides) under Leptocylindrus danicus. RNAcentral describes it as "partial transfer-messenger RNA". The record is from RNAcentral. Lineage: Eukaryota; Bacillariophyta; Leptocylindrophyceae; Leptocylindrales; Leptocylindraceae.